CUUGAACGCUGGCGGCAGGCCUAACACCUGCAAGUCGACCGAGUGGCGGACGGGUGAGUAAUGUCUUGAAAACUGCCUGAUGGAGGGGUAUAACUACUGGAAACGGUAGAUAAUACCUCAUACCAUGAUAUGUGCCCCGAUGGGAUUAGCUUGUUGGUGUGGUAACUGCUCACCAAGGCGACGAUCCCUAGCUGGUGUGAGAGGAUUACCAGCCACUCUGGAACUGAGACACGGUCCAGACUCCUACGGGAGGCAGCAGUGGGGAAUAUUGCACAAUGGGCGAAAGCCUGAUGCAGCCAUGACGCGUGUAUGAAGAAGGCCUUCGGGUUGUAAAGUACUUUCAGCGGGGAGGCGUUACCCGCAGAAGAAGCACCGGCUAACUCCGUGCCAGCAGCCGCGGUAAUUC
This 406-nucleotide ribosomal RNA is filed under the name uncultured bacterium. RNAcentral's name for it is "partial 16S ribosomal RNA". It matches the Rfam family "Bacterial small subunit ribosomal RNA", at positions 30 to 526 of the family's 1533-position model. The record is from RNAcentral.